GGAUGAGCCCGCGGCCUAUCAGCUUGUUGGUGGGGUAAUGGCCUACCAAGGCGACGACGGGUAGCCGACCUGAGAGGGUGAUCGGCCACGCUGGGACUGAGACACGGCCCAGACUCCUACGGGAGGCAGCAGUGGGGAAUAUUGCACAAUGGGCGCAAGCCUGAUGCAGCGACGCCGCGUGAGGGAUGACGGCCUUCGGGUUGUAAACCUCUUUCGACAGGGACGAAGCGCAAGUGACGGUACCUGUAGAAGAAGCACCGGUCAACUACGUGCCAGCAGCCACGGUAAUA
RNAcentral lists this ribosomal RNA (290 nucleotides) under uncultured bacterium. RNAcentral's name for it is "partial 16S ribosomal RNA". It matches the Rfam family "Bacterial small subunit ribosomal RNA", at positions 223 to 525 of the family's 1533-position model. The record is from RNAcentral.